UAAUAAUUUAAAAAUUUUAAAAACUGAUAUCAUCAUUCACUUGUGCAUGUAGAAACUAAUUUGAUUUUAAUAUAGUUUUAGAAAUAUUCACGUGAAGAAUGAGACGUCAUCUUGAUGAUCAUCCAGGUUUAAAUACCAAUGUAUACUCUAGUGUUCCAGGAUCCAGUUCUGUUGCAAAUUCUCUUCAGUCAGGACUGCCUAGAGUGGAUGGUGGUGAGACGCAUAGAGUUGUAACUCCUUCUCCUGUUAGUAGUGGAGCUGCUGGGACUGUUACAAGACCUAUUUCACCUUCUGUGAAUAUAGCACUCCAGCAACACCAAAGUGCUGCAAAUGUUGUAGCGCCAGUAUCUCAGUUGUCUAGAGGUACUACUGGAAAACUUCCUGUACAAAGACAGCCUUUGGCAUAUAUCCAAGAUCCAUCUAAUAUUCCAAAAUCAGAAAAUACAGCCAUGCAAAGUGGUUUGCAAUUUUCUGUUCAAACUGGAUAUCAGUCAAGAGUUGGUUCUUCCUUAGUGUCACCAGGCAGUCAUAGUGCUUCAUCAUCUUCAGGACAUCAUUCUCAUUCUCUUCCUGCUCAAGCACCAGUUCAUCAACAGCCUCAAGUUGUUGUACAUCAAGCACAGGCACAAACAGCCCAAGGACAGCAGCAGCAACAGUUUCAAAGAUUAAAAGUUGAAGAUGCUUUAUCAUAUUUGGAUCAAGUGAAAUUUAGAUUUGGAAAUCAGCCUCAAGUGUAUAAUGACUUUUUGGAUAUAAUGAAAGAAUUUAAAUCACAAAGUAUUGAUACUCCUGGUGUGAUUCAGCGUGUAUCAAAUCUGUUCAAAGGACAUCCUGAAUUAAUUGUUGGAUUUAAUACAUUUUUACCACCUGGUUAUAAAAUUGAAGUCCAUUCAAAUGAUCAAGUAAAUGUCACUAUGCCAAAUUCAAAUUCUGCACCAACUAACAAUCCAACUGGUUUAUCACCAGCCAGUGUACCAAGUGCAAGUAAUUCUAAUAAUCAGAAUUCUUCAUCUCAAGCAAAUUUUCCAACUCAUAUUUCACAAAAUAGUCAUACCAGCACUCCCUCUCCUGUUAUUGGAAAUAAGGCUAUUCAUCAAAUAUCUGUUGUAAGUAGUCAAACACAUACAUCUGUUAACAGUCAACAUCCUUAUCAUCAAAGUUCUCCUCCUCAUGCAACCAAUGCUCCAAGUGCUCAUAGCCCUAGUACUCCUCAAGCCAGUCAACCAGUAGAAUUUAAUCAUGCAAUUAAUUAUGUGAAUAAAAUAAAGAACCGCUUUCAAGGUCAACCAGAUAUAUAUAAGCAGUUUUUAGAAAUAUUGCAUACAUAUCAGAAAGAACAGAGGAAUUUGAAACAGAUCACAAUGAAGCUUGUAUAAAUUUCCAAAAAUUCUAAAACUUAUUUUCUCAUCCUAAGCAUGAUCAGAUAAAGAAAAUGAACCGCUUUCAAGGUCAACCAGAUAUAUAUAAGCAGUUUUUAGAAAUAUUGCAUACAUAUCAGAAAGAACAGAGGAAUUUGAAACAGGGAAAUCAUGCUGGUUCUAAACCUCUCACUGAGAGUGAAGUAUAUGCUCAAGUGGCAAAGUUAUUUCAAAAUCAAGAAGAUCUACUUCAGGAAUUUGGUCAGUUUCUGCCAGAUGCUAAUGGAGCAGCUAGUAUAUUGCAACCUACAACCAAAGCUGUGAAUAAUGAUCAUACAGCUGCUGCAAAGAAACCUAUCGUGUCUAAACCUGUAAGCACUCCUAUAAACAGCCAAACAAAACAACCACAAGCUGUUAAACGUCCUGCUCCAUCAUUGCCAUCACAACCUAAUAAG
Molecule: unclassified non-coding RNA, 1813 nt
Filed under: Centruroides sculpturatus (bark scorpion)
Lineage: Eukaryota; Metazoa; Arthropoda; Arachnida; Scorpiones; Buthidae
Description: paired amphipathic helix protein Sin3a-like, transcript variant X6
Source: RNAcentral